RNAcentral lists this ribosomal RNA (253 nucleotides) under uncultured bacterium. Its description in RNAcentral is "partial 16S ribosomal RNA". It matches the Rfam family "Bacterial small subunit ribosomal RNA", at positions 524 to 776 of the family's 1533-position model. The record is from RNAcentral.
UACGAAGGGGGCUAGCGUUGCUCGGAAUCACUGGGCGUAAAGGGUGCGUAGGCGGGUCUUUAAGUCAGGGGUGAAAUCCUGGAGCUCAACUCCAGAACUGCCUUUGAUACUGAGGAUCUUGAGUUCGGGAGAGGUGAGUGGAACUGCGAGUGUAGAGGUGAAAUUCGUAGAUAUUCGCAAGAACACCAGUGGCGAGGGCGGCUCACUGGCCCGAUACUGACGCUGAGGCACGAAAGCGUGGGGAGCAAACAGG